Molecule: ribosomal RNA, 2921 nt
Filed under: Bacillus cereus
Lineage: Bacteria; Bacillati; Bacillota; Bacilli; Caryophanales; Bacillaceae
Description: 23S ribosomal RNA
Rfam family: Bacterial large subunit ribosomal RNA
Source: RNAcentral
GGUUAAGUUAGAAAGGGCGCACGGUGGAUGCCUUGACACUAGGAGUCGAUGAAGGACGGGACUAACGCCGAUAUGCUUCGGGGAGCUGUAAGUAAGCUUUGAUCCGAAGAUUUCCGAAUGGGGAAACCCACCAUACGUAAUGGUAUGGUAUCCUUAUCUGAAUACAUAGGGUAAGGAAGACAGACCCAGGGAACUGAAACAUCUAAGUACCUGGAGGAAGAGAAAGCAAAUGCGAUUUCCUGAGUAGCGGCGAGCGAAACGGAACAUAGCCCAAACCAAGAGGCUUGCCUCUUGGGGUUGUAGGACAUUCUAUACGGAGUUACAAAGGAACGAGGUAGACGAAGCGACCUGGAAAGGUCCGUCGUAGAGGGUAACAACCCCGUAGUCGAAACUUCGUUCUCUCUUGAAUGUAUCCUGAGUACGGCGGAACACGUGAAAUUCCGUCGGAAUCUGGGAGGACCAUCUCCCAAGGCUAAAUACUCCCUAGUGAUCGAUAGUGAACCAGUACCGUGAGGGAAAGGUGAAAAGCACCCCGGAAGGGGAGUGAAAGAGAUCCUGAAACCGUGUGCCUACAAAUAGUCAGAGCCCGUUAACGGGUGAUGGCGUGCCUUUUGUAGAAUGAACCGGCGAGUUACGAUCCCGUGCGAGGUUAAGCUGAAGAGGCGGAGCCGCAGCGAAAGCGAGUCUGAAUAGGGCGUUUAGUACGUGGUCGUAGACCCGAAACCAGGUGAUCUACCCAUGUCCAGGGUGAAGUUCAGGUAACACUGAAUGGAGGCCCGAACCCACGCACGUUGAAAAGUGCGGGGAUGAGGUGUGGGUAGCGGAGAAAUUCCAAUCGAACCUGGAGAUAGCUGGUUCUCCCCGAAAUAGCUUUAGGGCUAGCCUUAAGUGUAAGAGUCUUGGAGGUAGAGCACUGAUUGGACUAGGGGUCCUCAUCGGAUUACCGAAUUCAGUCAAACUCCGAAUGCCAAUGACUUAUCCUUAGGAGUCAGACUGCGAGUGAUAAGAUCCGUAGUCAAAAGGGAAACAGCCCAGACCGCCAGCUAAGGUCCCAAAGUGUGUAUUAAGUGGAAAAGGAUGUGGAGUUGCUUAGACAACUAGGAUGUUGGCUUAGAAGCAGCCACCAUUUAAAGAGUGCGUAAUAGCUCACUAGUCGAGUGACUCUGCGCCGAAAAUGUACCGGGGCUAAAUACACCACCGAAGCUGCGGAUUGAUACCAAUGGUAUCAGUGGUAGGGGAGCGUUCUAAGGACAGUGAAGUCAGACCGGAAGGACUGGUGGAGUGCUUAGAAGUGAGAAUGCCGGUAUGAGUAGCGAAAGACGGGUGAGAAUCCCGUCCACCGAAUGCCUAAGGUUUCCUGAGGAAGGCUCGUCCGCUCAGGGUUAGUCAGGACCUAAGCCGAGGCCGACAGGCGUAGGCGAUGGACAACAGGUUGAUAUUCCUGUACCACCUCUUUAUCGUUUGAGCAAUGGAGGGACGCAGAAGGAUAGAAGAAGCGUGCGAUUGGUUGUGCACGUCCAAGCAGUUAGGCUGAUAAGUAGGCAAAUCCGCUUAUCGUGAAGGCUGAGCUGUGAUGGGGAAGCUCCUUAUGGAGCGAAGUCUUUGAUUCCCCGCUGCCAAGAAAAGCUUCUAGCGAGAUAAAAGGUGCCUGUACCGCAAACCGACACAGGUAGGCGAGGAGAGAAUCCUAAGGUGUGCGAGAGAACUCUGGUUAAGGAACUCGGCAAAAUGACCCCGUAACUUCGGGAGAAGGGGUGCUUUCUUAACGGAAAGCCGCAGUGAAUAGGCCCAAGCGACUGUUUAGCAAAAACACAGCUCUCUGCGAAGCCGUAAGGCGAAGUAUAGGGGGUGACACCUGCCCGGUGCUGGAAGGUUAAGGAGAGGGGUUAGCGUAAGCGAAGCUCUGAACUGAAGCCCCAGUAAACGGCGGCCGUAACUAUAACGGUCCUAAGGUAGCGAAAUUCCUUGUCGGGUAAGUUCCGACCCGCACGAAAGGUGUAACGAUUUGGGCACUGUCUCAACCAGAGACUCGGUGAAAUUAUAGUACCUGUGAAGAUGCAGGUUACCCGCGACAGGACGGAAAGACCCCGUGGAGCUUUACUGUAGCCUGAUAUUGAAUUUUGGUACAGUUUGUACAGGAUAGGCGGGAGCCAUUGAAACCGGAGCGCUAGCUUCGGUGGAGGCGCUGGUGGGAUACCGCCCUGACUGUAUUGAAAUUCUAACCUACGGGUCUUAUCGACCCGGGAGACAGUGUCAGGUGGGCAGUUUGACUGGGGCGGUCGCCUCCUAAAGUGUAACGGAGGCGCCCAAAGGUUCCCUCAGAAUGGUUGGAAAUCAUUCGUAGAGUGCAAAGGCAUAAGGGAGCUUGACUGCGAGACCUACAAGUCGAGCAGGGACGAAAGUCGGGCUUAGUGAUCCGGUGGUUCCGCAUGGAAGGGCCAUCGCUCAACGGAUAAAAGCUACCCCGGGGAUAACAGGCUUAUCUCCCCCAAGAGUCCACAUCGACGGGGAGGUUUGGCACCUCGAUGUCGGCUCAUCGCAUCCUGGGGCUGUAGUCGGUCCCAAGGGUUGGGCUGUUCGCCCAUUAAAGCGGUACGCGAGCUGGGUUCAGAACGUCGUGAGACAGUUCGGUCCCUAUCCGUCGUGGGCGUAGGAAAUUUGAGAGGAGCUGUCCUUAGUACGAGAGGACCGGGAUGGACGCACCGCUGGUGUACCAGUUGUUCUGCCAAGGGCAUAGCUGGGUAGCUAUGUGCGGAAGGGAUAAGUGCUGAAAGCAUCUAAGCAUGAAGCCCCCUCAAGAUGAGAUUUCCCAUAGCGUAAGCUAGUAAGAUCCCUGAAAGAUGAUCAGGUUGAUAGGUUCGAGGUGGAAGCAUGGUGACAUGUGGAGCUGACGAAUACUAAUAGAUCGAGGACUUAACCAU